Molecule: ribosomal RNA, 240 nt
Filed under: uncultured bacterium
Lineage: Bacteria
Description: partial 16S ribosomal RNA
Rfam family: Bacterial small subunit ribosomal RNA
Source: RNAcentral
UACGAGGGGGCGAGCGUUGUUCGGAAUUAUUGGGCGUAAAGGGUGCGUAGGCGGCCUGACAAGUCUGAUGUGAAAUCCCUGGGCUCAACCCAGGGCCUGCAUCGGAAACUGUCGGGCUUGAGUAUGGGAGAGGUGAGUGGAAUUUCCGGUGUAGCGGUGAAAUGCGUAGAUAUCGGAAGGAACACCUGUGGCGAAAGCGGCUCACUGGACCAUUACUGACGCUGAGGCACGAAAGCUAGG